AGGAAACUUAGGUUAACUUUUAAACCAAGGGCCUUCAAAGCCCUAAACAGAGGACCCCGCCCCCUAGUUUCUG
RNAcentral lists this transfer RNA (73 nucleotides) under Quedenfeldtia trachyblepharus (Atlas day gecko). Its description in RNAcentral is "tRNA-Trp". It matches the Rfam family "tRNA". From Rfam's summary of the family: Transfer RNA (tRNA) molecules are approximately 80 nucleotides in length. Their secondary structure includes four short double-helical elements and three loops (D, anti-codon, and T loops). Further hydrogen bonds mediate the characteristic L-shaped molecular structure. tRNAs have two regions of fundamental functional importance: the anti-codon, which is responsible for specific mRNA codon recognition, and the 3' end, to which the tRNAs corresponding amino acid is attached (by aminoacyl-tRNA synthetases). tRNAs cope with the degeneracy of the genetic code in two manners: having more than one tRNA (with a specific anti-codon) for a particular amino acid; and 'wobble' base-pairing, i.e. permitting non-standard base-pairing at the 3rd anti-codon position. The record is from RNAcentral. Lineage: Eukaryota; Metazoa; Chordata; Lepidosauria; Squamata; Sphaerodactylidae.